GUAGUACUCCCUUCGUUCCAAAUUACUCGUCGCUGAAAUGGAUGUAUCUAGAACUAAAAUACAUCUAGAUACAUCCAUAAGUGCGACAAGUAAUUCGGAACGGAGGGAGUACUUG
This is a non-coding RNA of Triticum aestivum (bread wheat), 115 nucleotides long. The record is from Rfam. NCBI's taxonomy places the organism in Eukaryota, Viridiplantae, Streptophyta, Magnoliopsida, Poales, Poaceae.